CCUACGGGAGGCAGCAGUGGGGAAUAUUGCACAAUGGGGGAAACCCUGAUGCAGCGACGCCGCGUGAGUGAGGAAGUAUUUCGGUAUGUAAAGCUCUAUCAGCAGGGAAGAAAAUGACGGUACCUGACUAAGAAGCCCCGGCUAACUACGUGCCAGCAGCCGCGGUAAUACGUAGGGGGCAAGCGUUAUCCGGAUUUACUGGGUGUAAAGGGAGCGUAGACGGCUAAUCAAGUCAGAAGUGAAAUCCCGGGGCUUAACCCCGGAACUGCUUUGGAAACUGUGCGGCUGGAGUGCAGGAGGGGUAAGCGGAAUUCCUAGUGUAGCGGUGAAAUGCGUAGAUAUUAGGAGGAACAUCAGGGGCGAAGGCGACUUACUGGACUGUAACGGACACUGAGGCACGAAAGCGUGGGGAGCAAACAGGAUUAGAUACCCUGGUAGUC
RNAcentral lists this ribosomal RNA (440 nucleotides) under uncultured bacterium. RNAcentral's name for it is "partial 16S ribosomal RNA". It matches the Rfam family "Bacterial small subunit ribosomal RNA", at positions 338 to 795 of the family's 1533-position model. The record is from RNAcentral.